UCAACUGUUUUCAAAAAAAAAAAAAAAAAAUUACAUCUCUACUCGAAUAGAUUAAAAAGAAAAACCUUUCACCCUCUCCUUCUGAUUCGAAAUUGAUUCGACUGAAAUUUGGUACGUUUAGAUCUUCAGGUGAAUUAACAUGUACGCGCCUUCAUGUGUAGCUAAGAAAUAACUCAACCGCUGCAAUUUGAUGGCGCUUUGUAACCGCUGAACCGAUUUUCGGACGAACUCCUUCUACAAUUUAUGAUGUACAUCUUGUUGAUUUACCCAAGGAGGAUGGAGGGACUUACAAUUUAUUCUUAGCCUCCUCCUGACAGGAUUAUGAGGGGAUUUGGACUUCAUGCCAGAAAUAUACGCGAAAACCAGUGAUGGGGAAGCGAUAGUGCAAUGAAGGUCGGAACAAAUGUGGAAGAUCAAAUCAGCUUAACGAUAAUAUCCUACGUCUAACUGGUCCAAAGCUUUCAGGUCAGCAACUACAGCGAAAACAAGAAUGGGAAACGAUAAUUCUGACACUCUCGUCCAGCCUCAUUUAUGGGCACAAUUGACCCUUACGAUAGCUCCCAGACGACUCUAGAGCUUAUACUACCAGAUCAAAGCUAUACGAAGCUGUCGAAAUGCAAUCCCAUCUUACAAACAGCGGUGUUAUAUUCACAGCAAAAGGAGAUGUACACGUAAAAUACGGAAACAAACCCCUAAUGACCAAAAAUUAGUGCGCAAAAGAAAAACAUCUAAGCCGCUACCUAUCUACCUUUGAGAACAGAACCCUAGAGACUUACGCCAAAAAAUUAAUAAAGUUAAUUACGAAAAAGUACUUUCAUGUUGUACCAAUAAAGAAGGGUAAUAUUCAAGAAAUUAAACUAACAAGCAAAUGUUGAUGAACUUCAGAAAUACAAUGGUCACUGCAAAACGCCUUUUUUGAGAGCGGUUCCUGGAGAUAUGUUGUAGCAGCUUUAAUAACUGUUAGUUUUAUAAAUAAAAAAUCGCCAAAAUAUGUGUAUAAAUGCUCAAAAUGAUAGAGCUAAAAGUUUCCUACAGAAAAAUAUUUGAUUUAAAAGCCCUCAUUUUUUAGACUACCUUAGAAUAUAAUUAAUUCUUUGGAAAAUUCACAGUCCAUUGGACGCCGUAAAAUUAAGCCCCAUUCGUUUGGGUUUUUGUUAGAUGAUCGCAAAUAAUGCAGAAUUGUUUGAUUCGCGAGUUUCACUCUAGAGUUUGCGCGAGGCGCGCGUACAGCUGUAUUAAUGUGUUUAAUAUCGUUUCGUUCACAGCCAAGGUGAUGCAGCUAUGUAUAAAUAGUUUUAUUUAAA
Molecule: long non-coding RNA, 1304 nt
Filed under: Ceratitis capitata (Mediterranean fruit fly)
Lineage: Eukaryota; Metazoa; Arthropoda; Insecta; Diptera; Tephritidae
Description: uncharacterized LOC110118269, transcript variant X4
Source: RNAcentral